Molecule: non-coding RNA, 103 nt
Filed under: uncultured Chlorophyceae
Lineage: Eukaryota; Viridiplantae; Chlorophyta; Chlorophyceae
Source: RNAcentral
ACACAUUCAAAAGAAAGAGAAAAAAAGCGUCGAAGGUUUUUCCCUUUUUUGAUUUACAAAUACACAUCUCAUUCCAACAUUUCAAUAUACACAGAGAGAGAGA